AAUAAAGUUGCGGAUAGUUGAAUCCUUGCGUUCCAGAUGGCGCUGUACUUGUCACCUCUGAGCCGCUGGGCAGUGCUUAGUGCGGGCCGGGUCGGGCAAGGCCACAGGGCAUUUAGCCAUGGGACAGCAUUAUUAUCAAGCGAGAACAAAGAACCCCCACAAGCAAAGUUCUUCCCUCCUUUAGAGACGGCAAUGUUACCACCCGACUCAUUCAAAGGAAAGGUGGCCUUCAUUACAGGGGGUGGGACCGGCCUGGGAAGAGGAAUGACCACCACCCUUUCCCGAUUAGGAGCCGAAUGUGUUAUAUCCAGCAGAAAACUGGAUGUCUUAAAAAAAACUGCAGCUGAGGUCACAUCAGAAACUGGAAACAAGGUUCAUCCAGUUCAGUGUGAUGUCCGAGAUCCCGAGUCAGUUAAAAAAGCUGUAGAAGAACUGAUUCAAGUGGCUGGACAUCCAGAUGUUGUGAUAAACAAUGCAGCGGGGAACUUCAUUUCUCCUUCUGAAAGACUGUCUGCAAACGCCUGGAAGACCAUCACAGACAUUGUUCUUAACGGCACCGCUUACGUAACGCUCGAGGUUGGCAAGGAGCUCAUUAAGGCUGGGAAGGGGGCAGCAUUCCUUUCAAUUACCACAGUAUAUGCCAAUAGUGGGUCUGGCUUUGUAGUACCGAGUGCAUCUGCCAAGGCUGGAGUUGAAGUGAUGUGCAAAUCCCUUGCAUCUGAGUGGGGAAAAUAUGGCAUGAGGUUUAAUGUGAUACAGCCUGGUCCAAUAAGAACGAAGGGGGCAUUCAGUCGCCUUGACCCCACUGGACAAUUUGAAGCGGAAAUGUUGAAAAGGAUUCCUUGUGGACGUCUGGGAACAAUUGAGGAGAUCGCAAAUCUUGCCUCCUACCUCUGCAGUGACUAUGCUACCUGGGUCAAUGGGGCAAUUAUUCGUCUGGAUGGUGGUGAAUAUGUAUCUAUGGCCGGCGAGUUUAAUAGUUUAACAAAGGAGAACUGACAGAAGAGAAUAGAAGACAGAGCAAGAUGGGGCCUCUGAACUCCGAUGCAGAUCACAGAUUUAUGGCAGGUAACCAAUGAUCAGUGGGAUAUGUUAGAAAAAUUAAUCAGAAAAACAAAAGGAUCCUAAAGAGCCUGAGCUGAAAUACACUUAAAAGCCUUGAUAUAUUUUUGUAACAAUAGACCCCUUGAAAUCUUUCACUAAUGUGUUUAAUAUUGAAUGUGUUUAUAUUGAAUAAUCAAAACAUUGACAAUAAAUUCAUACAUUUACUGAU
Xenopus tropicalis (tropical clawed frog) is the source of this 1273-nucleotide RNA transcript. It is a transcript of the gene named 2,4-dienoyl-CoA reductase 1, with no coding region annotated. The transcript has 11 exons. NCBI's taxonomy places the organism in Eukaryota, Metazoa, Chordata, Amphibia, Anura, Pipidae. The record is from RefSeq and is marked provisional.